CAGGGCUUGCUUGCCUGCUCUCUGGGGGUGAGCGGUCCCGGCAAAGCACUACGAGGGCGCCCCCUACCGCGAAGAGUGCGGCACUGCCGGCCUGCGAGCGCCAAACAGGAAACUUUAACCAGGAGGACUAGACAGUUCCAGAUACAUUCCAGGCCUCUCUGCCCACCCGGCCCCGACCCCCUGCCUGCUCAGCUGAGACGGCAGAGGCUGAGGCUGCACGGGAACUCCCAGGGUCACUGUCGGGGCAGCUCCAGGCUCUGCUCAAAGCCCGCCCACGGCUGACCCUCACUGGCUGCAUCCCCCGGAGUCCCGGCCCGCGCUGUCUGUCCCCAAGACCCCCACUGCCUGCCCGCGUCCAGUCUGGAGUGAACACACUACCCAGUAUCUUUAAUGUGUACCUACUGAGUGCUAGCCUGGAGACAAAGUAAUGACUGCAACCCAGGAAGAAGGCACUCGCGCCUCCAACCCCAGCCUGCUGCCUGGCCCAGAGUGGUUGUGAGAGCCUCCCGUCCCACCAGCACAGACCCUGUUACUGGAGAACCCCCAGCAUCUGAGGUCCAGGAGCCUCCAGUGGGGACAGCGAUGACAUCCAUACUGGCUGGUCGCCCCCGUUCCCAUGAGCUGCGAGAGUCCCAUCCUUCACCCACCUUGCAGGCACCAGGCCCAAGGCUGGCUGCAGAGCCACACCCUGCACAGGGCCAGAGGUGACAUCCCAUCAUUCCAUCGCCCGCCUCCCCAUCAGGUUUUCCCAAGAAGAUGGACUUGCCCUCCCCAGGUGUGAGCUGAGACUCACGUGCUGCUUUGGGGAGCACCUGGAGCCUCCACCAGGUCAGAUGCCCAGCAUGGGGCCCCGACUCUUCAGCUACCAACACCUCUGCCUCGGGGCUGUGCCCCUGGUUGCCUGGCUGGGGAUCAACAGGCCCUAGCUCCAGGGAACCCCAACUCCUGCACUCAGAUACCACCCCUGUCUCACCAAGGAAGUGGCUGGGUGGGUGAGACCCGUAAGGCACCAGGUGCUCGGACCUCGCAUGGCCACGCAUUUCAAGCUGUUAGAAGAAACUGGAAAUCUGUACCAUUACAUA
Saimiri boliviensis boliviensis (Bolivian squirrel monkey) is the source of this 1082-nucleotide non-coding RNA. The record is from RefSeq and is a predicted model, not a curated record. NCBI's taxonomy places the organism in Eukaryota, Metazoa, Chordata, Mammalia, Primates, Cebidae.